Molecule: non-coding RNA, 583 nt
Organism: Agelaius phoeniceus (red-winged blackbird)
Lineage: Eukaryota; Metazoa; Chordata; Aves; Passeriformes; Icteridae
Source: RefSeq, a predicted model, not a curated record
UCCUCUGGCUCACCUUAGAUUAGCUGCCUUUCUCCAUCAACUCAGACCAACAGUCUUUAGCUUCUAGAGAAAAGAGCAUUUAUGGGGAGAGAAGAAUCACUUAUUCUGUGAGAUAUGGGGAAAAAGACCUGACCUUGCAAGUUACCUAUGGCAGCAGAUUCCUGGCCUCAUGUGGAGACACAACAUCAGCAGAAGUCUAUCCAGUUGAUUUACUGCAGAAAGGCUCAUCAUCAUCAUAAAAUCUUCAAGCCAAGAUUUGUGCUUUUUACUUUCUUUAAUAAAGAACCAAGCAUAAAUUGUUCAGAAUAAAUAAUAACAUCAAUAACUGCAGAAGACUUUCAUGAACAAAUCCUGCCUUUCUAUUUUUAAAAGUGUCAUAGCUGGCACAAUGUUAUAGGUAGUAAAGUUUCCAUUGAACAUGCUAAUCUGAGCAGACCAUGUUCAGAAGGAAUAGAUUGUCUUUAAAUAUUGUUCUCCACUUUGUCUAGUAUUGUCUUUACCAUACAUUAAGCAAGCAUUCUCUUUUCCUCCUUAUCUCUUUAAUAUCACACAGAUUGCUGAAAUAAAUCCCAAAUGUUCUUUA